GGUCACUUUUACCAUGGUAAUCUUUUGUAGAUGACAGGAGCAUGUGGCCCCCUCAUUCACAAGAGGUAAAUCCAGUCUUUCAAAUGAGGUGUCUUAUGCCUCUCCAGUAAAAAGGGGGAAUGAUGGACAGUGCAGUAAGUGCUCAUCUUUUGCAACAGAGAUCUCUUACAAUCUAAGGGGAUGUGAGAACCCCAUUAGAAAAGGCAUAUUGUAUAAAGCAACCUAAAUGGACCAGUGACUUCUAAUUUGAAAGAGUAGAAUCUGUCUUUUUAAACAAG
Molecule: non-coding RNA, 278 nt
Organism: Pelobates cultripes (western spadefoot toad)
Lineage: Eukaryota; Metazoa; Chordata; Amphibia; Anura; Pelobatidae
Source: the annotation of a GenBank genome assembly